AACGAACGCUGGCGGCAUGCCUAACACAUGCAAGUCGAACGAAGCCUUCGGGCUUAGUGGCGCACGGGUGCGUAACGCGUGGGAAUCUGCCCUUUGGUUCGGAAUAACAGUUGGAAACGACUGCUACUACCGGAUGAUGACGAAAGUCCAAAGAUUUAUCGCCAGAGGAUGAGCCCGCGUAGGAUUAGCUAGUUGGUGUGGUAAAGGCGCACCAAGGCGACGAUCCUUAGCUGGUCUGAGAGGAUAAUCAGCCACGCUGGGACUGAGACACGGCCCAGACUCCUACGGGAGGCAGCAGUGAGGAAUAUUGGACAGUGGGCGAAAGCCUGAUCCAGCAAUGCCGCGUGAGUGAUGAAGGCCCUAGGGUUGUAAAGCUCUUUUACCCGGGAUGAUAAUGACAGUACCGGGAGAAUAAGCCCCGGCUAACUCCGUGCCAGCCGCCGCGGUAA
RNAcentral lists this ribosomal RNA (449 nucleotides) under uncultured bacterium. RNAcentral describes it as "partial 16S ribosomal RNA". It matches the Rfam family "Bacterial small subunit ribosomal RNA", at positions 29 to 523 of the family's 1533-position model. The record is from RNAcentral.